Molecule: ribosomal RNA, 422 nt
Filed under: uncultured bacterium
Lineage: Bacteria
Description: bacterial SSU rRNA
Rfam family: Bacterial small subunit ribosomal RNA
Source: RNAcentral
UAAGGAAUAUUGGUCAAUGGACGCAAGUCUGAACCAGCCAUGCCGCGUGGAGGAUGAAGGUCCUCUGGAUUGUGAACUUCUUUUAUCUGGGACGAAACACUUCUUUUCUAAGAGGCCUGACGGUACCAGAUGAAUAAGCACCGGCUAACUCCGUGCCAGCAGCCGCGGUAAUACGGAGGGUGCAAGCGUUAUCCGGAUUCACUGGGUUUAAAGGGUGCGUAGGUGGGUAUGUAAGUCAGUGGUGAAAUCCCCGAGCUUAACUUGGGAACUGCCAUUGAUACUAUAUAUCUUGAAUACCGUAGAGGUAAGCGGAAUAUGUCAUGUAGCGGUGAAAUGCUUAGAUAUGACAUGGAACACCGAUUGCGAAGGCAGCUUACUAUGCGGUGAUUGACACUGAGGCACGAAAGCGUGGGUAGCAAACA